CCUACGGGGAGCAGCAGUAGGGAAUGUUGCGCAAUGGGCGAAAGCCUGACGCAGCAACGCCGCGUGAAGGAGACGCGCUUAGGGGUGUAAAGAUCUGUCAGUGGGGACGAAACUUGACGGUACCCACAGAGGAAGCACCGGCUAACUCCGUGCCAGCAGCCGCGGUAAUACGGGGGGUGCAAGCGUUGUCCGGAAUCAUUGGGCGUAAAGAGUUCGUAGGCGGCACGUAAAGUCUGGUGUGAAAGGCAGAGGCUCAACUUCUGUACGGCACUGGAUACUUGCGAGCUAGAGUGCGGGAGAGGUAAGGGGAAUUCGUGGUGUAGCGGUGAAAUGCUUAGAUAUCAGGAGGAACAUCGGUGGCGUAAGCGCUUUACUGGGCCGUAAUUGACGCUGAGGAACGAAAGCCAGGGUAGCAAAUGGGAUUAGAUACCCUGGUAGUC
RNAcentral lists this ribosomal RNA (440 nucleotides) under uncultured bacterium. RNAcentral describes it as "partial 16S ribosomal RNA". It matches the Rfam family "Bacterial small subunit ribosomal RNA", at positions 338 to 795 of the family's 1533-position model. The record is from RNAcentral.